UAGAAUUCCAGGUGUGCGGUGAAAUGCGUAGAGAUCUGGAGGAAUACCGGUGGCGAAGGCGGCCCCUGGACGAAGACUGACGCUCAGGUGCGAAAGCGUGGGGAGCAAACAGGAUUAGAUACCUGGUAGUCACGCCGUAAACGAUGUCGACUUGGAGGUUGUGCCCUUGAGGCGUGGCUUCCGGAGCUAACGCGUUAAGUCGACCGCCUGGGGAGUACGGCCGCAAGGUUAAAACUCAAAUGAAUUGACGGGGGCCCGCACAAGCGGUGGAGCAUGUGGUUUAAUUCGAUGCAACGCGAAGAACCUUACCUGGUCUUGACAUCCACGGAAGUUUUCAGAGAUGAGAAUGUGCCUUCGGGAACCGUGAGACAGGUGCUGCAUGGCUGUCGUCAGCUCGUGUUGUGAAAUGUUGGGUUAAGUCCCGCAACGAGCGCAACCCUUAUCCUUUGUUGCCAGCGGUCCGGCCGGGAACUCAAAGGAGACUGCCAGUGAUAAACUGGAGGAAGGUGGGGAUGACGUCAAGUCAUCAUGGCCCUUACGACCAGGGCUACACACGUGCUACAAUGGCGCAUACAAAGAGAAGCGACCUCGCGAGAGCAAGCGGACCUCAUAAAGUGCGUCGUAGUCCGGAUUGGAGUCUGCAACUCGACUCCAUGAAGUCGGAAUCGCUAGUAAUCGUGGAUCAGAAUGCCACGGUGAAUACGUUCCCGGGCCUUGUACACACCGCCCGUCACACCAUGGGAGUGGGUUGCAAAAGAAGUAGGUAGCUUAACCUUCGGGAGGGCGCUUACCACUUUGUGAUUCAUGACUGGGGUGAAGUCGUAACAAGGUAACCGUAGGGGAACCUGCGGCUGGAUCACCUCCUU
This 866-nucleotide ribosomal RNA is filed under the name uncultured bacterium. RNAcentral describes it as "bacterial SSU rRNA". It matches the Rfam family "Bacterial small subunit ribosomal RNA", at positions 662 to 1532 of the family's 1533-position model. The record is from RNAcentral.